This 28-nucleotide non-coding RNA is filed under the name Bombyx mori (domestic silkworm). The record is from RNAcentral. Lineage: Eukaryota; Metazoa; Arthropoda; Insecta; Lepidoptera; Bombycidae.
UGUUCUGGAUGCUGGAGUUUUUAAUACA